CAGUCGCCGCGGUAAUACGUAGGUGGCAAGCGUUGUCCGGAAUUAUUGGGCGUAAAGGGCUCGCAGGCGGUUUCUUAUGUCUGAUGUGAAAGCCCCCGGCUCAACCGGGGAGGGUCAUUGGAAACUGGGAAACUUGAGUGCAGAAGAGGAGAGUGGAAUUCCACGUGUAGCGGUGAAAUGCGUAGAGAUGUGGAGGAACACCAGUGGCGAAGGCGACUCUCUGGUCUGUAACUGACGCUGAGGAGCGAAAGCGUGGGGAGCGAACAGGAUUAGAUACCCCUGUAGUCCCUGUCUCUUAUAC
Molecule: ribosomal RNA, 301 nt
Filed under: uncultured bacterium
Lineage: Bacteria
Description: partial 16S ribosomal RNA
Rfam family: Bacterial small subunit ribosomal RNA
Source: RNAcentral